RNAcentral lists this unclassified non-coding RNA (601 nucleotides) under Aspergillus neoniger. Its description in RNAcentral is "sequence contains 18S rRNA gene, ITS1, 5.8S rRNA gene, ITS2, 28S rRNA gene". The stretch from base 230 to 383 matches the Rfam family "5.8S ribosomal RNA". Lineage: Eukaryota; Fungi; Ascomycota; Eurotiomycetes; Eurotiales; Aspergillaceae. The record is from RNAcentral.
UCGUAACAAGGUUUCCGUAGGUGAACCUGCGGAAGGAUCAUUACCGAGUGCGGGUCCUUUGGGCCCAACCUCCCAUCCGUGUCUAUUAUACCCUGUUGCUUCGGCGGGCCCGCCGCUUGUCGGCCGCCGGGGGGGCGCCUUUGCCCCCCGGGCCCGUGCCCGCCGGAGACCCCAACACGAACACUGUCUGAAAGCGUGCAGUCUGAGUUGAUUGAAUGCAAUCAGUUAAAACUUUCAACAAUGGAUCUCUUGGUUCCGGCAUCGAUGAAGAACGCAGCGAAAUGCGAUAACUAAUGUGAAUUGCAGAAUUCAGUGAAUCAUCGAGUCUUUGAACGCACAUUGCGCCCCCUGGUAUUCCGGGGGGCAUGCCUGUCCGAGCGUCAUUGCUGCCCUCAAGCCCGGCUUGUGUGUUGGGUCGCCGUCCCCCUCUCCGGGGGGACGGGCCCGAAAGGCAGCGGCGGCACCGCGUCCGAUCCUCGAGCGUAUGGGGCUUUGUCACAUGCUCUGUAGGAUUGGCCGGCGCCUGCCGACGUUUUCCAACCAUUUUUUCCAGGUUGACCUCGGAUCAGGUAGGGAUACCCGCUGAACUUAAGCAUAUCAA